UUAGAGUUUGAUCCCUGGCUCAGAUUGAACGCUGGCGGCAGGCCUAACACAUGCAAGUCGAGCGCGAAAGUUCUUCGGAAUGAGUAAAGCGGCGGACGGGUGAGUAAUACAUGGGAAUCUGCCUGGUAGUGGGGGACAACGUUUCGAAAGGAACGCUAAUACCGCAUACGCCCUACGGGGGAAAGGGGGGGAUCUUCGGACCUCUCGCUAUCAGAUGAGCCCAUGUCGGAUUAGCUAGUUGGUGGGGUAAAGGCUCACCAAGGCGACGAUCCGUAACUGGUCUGAGAGGAUGAUCAGUCACACUGGAACUGAGACACGGUCCAGACUCCUACGGGAGGCAGCAGUGGGGAAUCUUGCGCAAUGGGCGAAAGCCUGACGCAGCGAUGCCGCGUGAGCGAUGAAGGCCUUCGGGUUGUAAAGCUCUGUGGAUGGAGACGAAGAAGUAUGGGUUAAUAUCCCAUGCGGUGACGGAUCCAUUAGCAAGC
Molecule: ribosomal RNA, 485 nt
Filed under: uncultured Gammaproteobacteria bacterium
Lineage: Bacteria; Pseudomonadati; Pseudomonadota; Gammaproteobacteria
Description: bacterial SSU rRNA
Rfam family: Bacterial small subunit ribosomal RNA
Source: RNAcentral